Molecule: long non-coding RNA, 2290 nt
Organism: Corticium candelabrum
Lineage: Eukaryota; Metazoa; Porifera; Homoscleromorpha; Homosclerophorida; Plakinidae
Exons: 2
Source: RefSeq, a predicted model, not a curated record
UCUUACCGUUUUGAAAUCUGAACUUUUAACAUUAAAUUCGAACGGAUGGGGAAAGUGUCUCGCCGUGUACGCCUGCCAAACAAAAACAUAUCAACUAGAGACGCAUGGCUUGCGUUGGGCAUGUAAAGUUGAGUGCAUUGCAAUCUGUGGCAAAUGUCUCUACGUGAAGGCGGAUGGUUGGAUGAGCUGAAGUGUCAACUGCAGAUAUGGUACGUGUGACACACAUUUGUUCUGAAUAUUGCCCAUGUAUGUGGGUGUGCAGAGAACUCAUUACACUUGGAUUGCACAAAGACGCAUUAAUUAAUUAAUUGACUAGGUUUAGUUGUCCACCUGCGUCAGGUAUUAUAGAAAUGAAUGGGUCACACAGUUACGCAAUUGUCACAAACUUUUCCCAACUAAUUGGGUACGGUGAUACUAUUGAGAUAUCAUGAUUAGUUCUAGGUGGUAUUAGUACUAGGUGGUACCAAGGAGAUCAAAAGCAGAGCAAACCAUCUCUAGACAGAACUUAUGCAUAGGUGAAUCAUUAGCCUUAGUGACUAGAUCUAUGGCAGCACUAUAUCUACGCUCUAUCUUAUGUGGAUAGCCCAAACUAACUUAGACCUCUCUUCCCAUGCGGUCUUAUUAAUUUACGGUGACGGAACAAGUUGAAGCCUCACAAUAAAAGUACUAGCAAGCUCGUAUUUGCCUGCAUACAAGUUGGAUUCAAUUUCUUUGUGUCUGGGAAUCCAAGCCAUUUUUGUAAGAGAUCAUGUGUACUAGUAGUGUAUAAUUUGUUGUACAGUGUGCUAAUUUGUUCAGUUAAUGCUGAUGGUAGUAGAUUCAGAAAAGGAACACUGAUCACAAAAUGUCAGGACUGUUUGGGUAAUAUCCAUCUGAAGACCUAAAAUACUGUAGAUGGCGUGCAUCUAUGCCUACAGGAUUUGGUGGAUCGCAUAGUUGUACUGAAAUGAUCAUGACAAGAUCACAUCUCGGUCAUUGAUUUUUCUAGCCAUUGAUUUCUUACCGUCAAAGAUAUUCCAAGGCCCAAAACAUCAUUGAGAAGAGGCGAACCGAAGCAAGAAGACACACCCAUUGCAGGUUUGCCUUGUCGUGCCACUGCAGUAUCAGCUACCCAAUCACCAACCGAGUUACCAAUGGCCAACACAGUUACACCCAGUACAGCUGCAUCAUAAGAGAAUCUGCUUGCAAUUUCUCUCGAGGAAGAGAAUGACAAGACUCACCAAGACUGACAUCAAAUACAGUACCAAAUGUUUGCAGCACGGCCACCAGUUCGUUGGCCUGAAUAUUCAUCCAUGCCACUGAUGUUAUAAAUGCGACAACACCAGAGAAAAAGAGCACAACUGAACCAGGAUCUAGAGACCCCCUAGUGCAGAAACGCCACUUAUACAAGAACCAACCAAAUAGAAUCAGCGAUAUUGGUGCUCCUACAUACAAAUAUGUUGACAGCAACACAAAUGGUCUACAAGCGUUUUGUUAGCAUCUUGCCUGCUAUAAUAAUGACUGCAUACACAGGCAGUGUGGUGGUGGCAUACAUGGUAAACCCGUCCCAUCCCUCUGCUGCAAUAAGCAGAAGAAGACUGGCUGGAAUCGGACACAGAAUUGCAAAUAUCCACCUCAUCAUAUCCCAUUCUUCAUCCUAUACUCAUGACACACACAAUAGAAUAACUAUAUUUUGAACAAGUGUUGGAUCAGCGUACACAUGAUGGGACGGUCAGCCAUCGAAGAAUACUAACCGGAUACUCCACAAUAAACUGAACUUUGACUGCCCAAUUACUAUUACGUGGCUGUAACAAAGUAACUAUCAAAUUGAUCAGGAUAUGACAAUAGCCUUACUAUGACACAAACCCAUGAGAGGCCAGCAAGAGAGAAAUUAUUCUGCAAACACGAACUAUGAACACACGAUACACUUAGACAGAUUUUCAACAUACUUCAGGAUCUGAUGGCUCAUUGAGUGACACUGAUCAGAAAUUUUGGACACUCUGUGAAUAUACAUGGAUAAUCAUUGAUUAGAUAGUAUUACCUAUUGGAGUUGUGUUUGAUGAUUUGUUUGACUCGCUGAAUAGUGGUUGUUGCACAGUGCUUUUGCGUUUUGCUCUCUAAGUGUGCAAUGUCAGUCCAAAGUUAUCAACUAGAAAUUUUUUGUGUAACUAACUAAAAUAUAUCCGAGAGCAACUACAACUCCAAUGUAUGCAAUGUAUGCAGCAAGGAAGAUGACGGACUCAUAGAGAUAGAUCUGAAAUUAGGAAAUGUUUGUUUAUACUUGGUGGUUAAUAUUAACAUGUUUGUCUUA